UUUAUUAUAGAGUAUCUGUCUCUUGGCUUCCUGAGAAUCUGUCGUGAUUAAAUAGUGAAUGAAAGAAACUGAAUAAUUAUCUUAUCAAAUUUAAAGAAAGAGGCUAUAUAUAAGAAAACAGUACAUAUUCUAUAUGAGAAAGGCAGGGCUUGCUCUUGCUCAAGGCCUGUUUCUAGGCCAUGAGACAUCUUUCUAUAAAUUAGAAAAAUGGUUCUUUUUAUGGAUGGAUCCAGCUCUGCAACUAGAAAUCUUAAUGAAUAGAUAGCGCUUUAUGUGCAGGAAAAUGGUACUGGAUGCAUGACUUGAAGUACAGCACACAAGCUUCAUUCCAUCUCCUUUACUCCCCUUGGUCAGGAACCGGAAUUUUCUGUACCAUUGUGCCCAGAAUUGGUUCCUUCCGGUGGGUUCUUUGUCUCGCUGACUUCAAGAAUGAAGCUGUGGAUCCUCGUGAGAACAGAGAAAAACUGUUUUCUGAAAAGCAAUUCUGCAAAAACAUUGACAUUAACAAAAAACACACCUGCUUGGAAAAGAGGAUAACAUGUUGGACAAUGGUUAAAUUAUAUUUACUUUGAUAUGUCUCUGGAGGUUAAAUCAAUACCUGUAUGAAGCUUGAAGUUCACAUUUAUUAUGGAGGGCACUUGUAAAAGUGUAUCUGAAGCCUGUAAGAGCCAGAAGGACUCAGUCAUAUGCUGCCUUCUGUGCCUGAUGUUUUCUUUUGAACUAGGGAGAGACGUGAACAUACAGUCUGUUAUUGUAGUUUAUGCACAAAGACUCAAAUAAGAAAGAUGUGGGUGUAUGUAUAAGAAAAGGUUUAGAAAACUUGGCAUAUUUUCUAUGAAUGUUAAGAACUUGUAUUACUGUAAUUCUGUAAGUCUAAAUGCAAUCGAAGGACACAAACAUCUCUAUGUAUAAUGAGAUUAACUGAAACAUAAUUGAACAAAACUGGAAAUAAAGAAAAAUCUAUCAAAUA
This 970-nucleotide long non-coding RNA is filed under the name Homo sapiens (human). RNAcentral's name for it is "long non-coding RNA NONHSAT167058.1". The record is from RNAcentral. Lineage: Eukaryota; Metazoa; Chordata; Mammalia; Primates; Hominidae.